ACAAGUGACACAAUAAAAUGUACUUAAUACAUGAACUUGUGAACAUUGUCUACAUGAGAAGUUAAUAGAUAGUAGUCAAUUACAUCAUAUAAUUUGGUUCUAUACUCUUUUGUGUAUAUAUCCUGAAUGAUACCCCUUUGUGAUCAACUCUUUGUCCUCCAAAUCGAAUGGCACAGCUACUGCCCCUUGUGGAAAAAGAAAGGGUUCUGUAAUACCCAUAAAUGUAAAAGGAAAACAUCAUGUGAUGCAUCUCAACCUGCGCAAAACAAUGUAAAAAACAUACAUGCUAUCUACAUACCCUCAUUGUCUAGCAAAACAUAAGUAGCUGAGGGACCCUAUACAAAAGAAUUGACAAUUAGUAAGAAAGAAGCAUGCCACUUUACAUGGAACAAAAAAAUUGAUUAUUAUGGUGAGCGCAGAAUAACAUGAAGUUGUCAUGUGCAGCCAACAACUGCAGCUAUCUGUAUAGGCUACUGCUACUUUACAAUCUAUAUUGACAGGAAUAUUUGUGAAGUCAUUCAAAUCUAUCUUAAGUGAAAACAUGCUUAUAAGGCAUACUUAAUUCUCUCUGUUGUUCAUUUUCCUUUUGAUGUCACUUUAUUCAUAUGGUAAAUAUGAGUUUAAUCAUCAGUAGACAGAAACUUUGUGUGAAUCAAAAUACCAAGUUUAGUAUGGAAACUAUAGUUUCUCCAUAUGUCAUUAUUUCAAGACAAAGCAUGUUAUUCACACCCACUUAGAAUCAUAAUUUCCAGUAAACUUUCCAUACAGCAAUAUCAAUAAAAAGGCUUCUGUUCUUUACCUUUAAUAGAAGAGGCAACUGGCUGAGGCUGCCCUAGCAUGAGGUCAAACUGUCGAUUGCAGAGCUGAAGCGCUAUUGAAAGUAAUUACAUCACCUGCUCGAUGUACAAAAUAACCAUUAUAUCAUAUAUCAUAUUUUACGGUUAAAACUGCAAAAGGAGUAGAGAACGGCAAAAGGGCACUACACAAUUUAGUCAACAAACUAAGUUUAGAGGCGCAAAUGUAUGAUGGAGCUAGCGCACGAAUUCCUUUCGCUGGUCUCGGUGUGAAUUACGUAGCCUGACAACUAAAUUUCAAAUCAUGGCAUGAUGGCAAGCAAGGAAAAGGUGCCAAUUCACCACCACUACCAAAUUCCUCCACAUCCAGCUAACUUUUAUGGCUUCAUGCCAACAUUGGCCAACUCCUUUAACAUGUAGUAGAAACAAAUGAUUUAAUUUAUAUCAUACAGUAAAAUCUUCCCUCAAGUCUGAAAGUACCACAGACCCUGAUGUAAGGAGCAGAAUAAAUUUAAACCAUCAGGCGCAUUGUAUCUAAAAUCAGGGCCAACCUCUCAAAUAUAUAUAUGGUGUUCUUGUCCUCGAGAAAUAGAAAAGCGAGUUAUAUACAAGGAAAAUGUACCAAAAGCAAGGUGAGUUAGUUGUUUCAAACAUGCAGUCCUUGCUAAACAUUUAGCCGAAAGAAGUAGAAUAACUAACCCAUCACUAAUGCUUAAGUACAGUAUCUGAUUUUUUUUCUGGCCAUGCAAACAUGUAAAUAUUUAGCAGAUAUGUAGACUAAAGUGUCAACUAAAAAACCCUGUCCGCAAUUGGAAGAAACAUAAUCAGUCUAGAAUAAGCAUUGGUAGCUAGAUAAAUUACUUAUUUCAAGUUGACUGCUAUUUCUUUUAGGAAGCAAAUCAUGGUAGGAAGUCAACUAUUAAAUGGCAAGAAGAUGAUUGUCCAGCAGUUUUUCCUCUGGUUGAUUUCGGGUAAAACAGAGAGGCCAUACCAGCUACACUUCCUCAUUUGUAAAUUACCGACGCUUGUUCUUGUUUUGAUUCAUUUAGGCUGGCUAUCUUCUUGCUGCUUGAACCACAAGUUAUUUUCUCUUUCUUGAGACCUCUACAUAGAUAGAGGAAAAUCAAGAAGAUGAAAAUUCCAUUAGAGAUCAAAAUAUCGACCUUCACUAUCACAACCAGUCAUAGAAAGUUAAAACUGAAGAGCAGAAAAAUUCGUUGAAUGAACCAGAGAUGCGGUGUCAACUUUCUUAAAUUCCAGUUAAGAUUUUUUUACAUUCUAAAAGAGUGAUCAUGCAUGCCAUUUUACCUUUUUGUUAUCCCAAUUCCAUGGAUAAAUGAAUUAAUUGUAGUUGCUGACACUCCCCGUUACCGUAGCCUUGCCAAUGCUUGAGAAAUCUGUCAAAGGGAAACUUGCAACAUCAUUAACCUAACAAUGAUUCUGAAAGAUACUACAGCGCUAAGUCUGUUUACGAUACCUACACAAAAGAUGCUUUAAUAAUCGUAGAUUUGAUAUUACCAUCAUACUAUACUUGGUCAGCUAAAUAAUCCUCCCACCAGCCAUAAGAGGAACUUAACAAAGUAAGCUAACAAAAAAAUUUAAGAAACAAGAACAAGCUGAACAUCGCAAGGCAAAACACUCCGGCAUGAUUAGAUAUGGCACUGUCGUCAACAAUGAUAACUUUACAACACGUCAACAUGUCAUCGAAGAGGAACUCACCUAGCACAACCAGCAUGUUGAGAUUGUUUUCUUUGUCUCUUCUUCAGACAAAUCCAAAUUGCCCACAUGCUCAUGUUCAAAGCAUCUGUUCUCAACAUCAAGAGGAAACAGUAAAAGAAGAUUUUGUGUACAUGUUCUUAUCAGCAGUAAAUUGGGGCAAAUAAGACAAAAAUUAAACACAUGUUCUUAGCAGGAGUAAAUGCAAAUAAUACAGAAAUCCUAUGUGCUACUGUAAUAAUGCUGAAAUUUAGCACAGUAGAAACACAUAUAACAUCAAACACCUAGAGAUAGAUCAAGUGGAAACAACCAGCAUGCAGACGGGAAACACAUAUAACAACAACCACUUAGAGAUAGUCAAUAUAGCAAACAUAUAUAGAACCAAUAAAGUUGGAGGCGUACCUGCCAGCCUGCAAGAUCUCUCUCGCACACCAAAAUAACACGGCCUCCUGCAGAACAAAGGGAUCUAAGAAUGGCCCAUAAAACCAAGCGAUAUAGCAGUGGAAGGGAGCAAACCUUAAUCACAGCAGGCCGCUAGCAACUGAUGGAUUGAAUAGCACCUACAGGAAGAACACGGUAAUGCACAUAUCAAAAAGCGGCCAGAACAUGGACUGUAUGGACUGCAUAUCCUACUGAAAAGAAGAACCAGUUGGAGGUUCGUGGCAUGGAAGGAGUGGACAGAGACCUCCAUGUCAGAUCUAGCAGCACAUAUCCUCUUGUCUUCUCCUCUGCGCAUCGUCAUGGAAGGAAGCCUCCUCCUCGCUAACCCUAUCUGCAUAAGAACACAAAAAUAUAAGUAGUCAUGAAUUAGAGGGAUGAGCACAGGUCACCAUGGAAUAUGAGGAAACGAUGAAGAAAGAGCUUACGUGUCGGGCGUCUCCUCGACGAACUGGGAGCCAUCCUCGAUCUCUACUCCUCUACAGAUAGCCGCCAAGAGUGGGGGGUCGAGCAGGAUGGGUUCCCCUGAUGCCCUCACUGCAGCAGCCACUCCAGCUCUCUUGGACGCGACCUACGGCCGAUCCGGAAUCACAGCGCGCGGCACCUGAUGGCGGCAACCCGGCGAAAUUGUCAAU
Molecule: long non-coding RNA, 3583 nt
Filed under: Triticum aestivum (bread wheat)
Lineage: Eukaryota; Viridiplantae; Streptophyta; Magnoliopsida; Poales; Poaceae
Description: long non-coding RNA (TAES_LNC003379)
Source: RNAcentral